Molecule: non-coding RNA, 89 nt
Organism: Podarcis lilfordi (Lilford's wall lizard)
Lineage: Eukaryota; Metazoa; Chordata; Lepidosauria; Squamata; Lacertidae
Source: the annotation of a GenBank genome assembly
CUUUAGGGAUAGCCAUGCAAAGCCUCUUGAGCGCAGUGGGAGUGCUCCUUCCACUGCGUUCAGGAGGCUUUGCGUUGCUUUCGCUGAAG